AUUUCCAUAGUAUAAAAAAUACAUUAGCCUUUCAAGCUAAAAACGUAACAUUUACCUUACUGGAAAUU
Molecule: transfer RNA, 68 nt
Filed under: Scoloplos cf. armiger CB-2006
Lineage: Eukaryota; Metazoa; Annelida; Polychaeta; Orbiniidae
Description: tRNA-Glu
Rfam family: tRNA
About the family: Transfer RNA (tRNA) molecules are approximately 80 nucleotides in length. Their secondary structure includes four short double-helical elements and three loops (D, anti-codon, and T loops).
Source: RNAcentral